UAAUCUCUCUUUCUUGCUUCCUUCUGAUGGAUCCUUGCUAGUAGUAGUAUUACUCCGAGCAUGUUUAAUUUGGUUGCUACCUGAGAGAAGCAUGCCUGGACUUAUGUCCUGUUUGAAUCCAGGGACUAAAUCACAUAGAAUGUUUGAUAUUAAUUAGAAGUAUUAAACGUAGACUAAUGACAAAACCUAUUCUAUAAUCUUAGACUAAUUCGCGAGAUAAAUCUAUUGAGCCUAAUUAAUUCAUGAUUAGCCUAUGUGAAGCUACCGUAAAAAUAUGCUAAUUAUGGAUUAAUUAGGCUUAUAAAAUUUGUAUCGCAAAUUAACUCUCAUUUAUGUAAUUUGUUUUAUUAUUAAUUUAUAUUUAAUACUUCUAGUUAGUGUCAAAUAUAGUCCUUGUCACAUCGGAUGUUUAGACGCUAAUUUCGAGUAUUAAAUAUAGACUAAUUAGAAAACUAAUUGCAUAAAUGAGAGCUAAUUCACGAGAUAAAUUUUUUAAGCCUAAUUAAUCUAUAAUUAGCACAUAUUUAAUGCUAGCAUCACAUAGACUAUAAUCAUGGAUUAAUUAGGCCUAAAAAUUCGUCUCAUGAAUUAGGUCUUAUUUAUGCAAUUAGUUUUGUAAUUAGUCUAUGUUUAAUACUCUAAAAUAGCAUCUAAACAUCUAAUGUGAUAGGGACUAAAGUUUUAGGCUGUGUUUAGAUCCAGGGGUGAAAAGUUUUACCGUGUUACAUCGAAUAUACGGACAUACAUUUGAAGUAUUAAACGUAGUCUAAUAACAAAACAAAUUACAGAUUUCGCCUGUAAAUUGCGAGACGAAUUUAUUAAACCUAACUAAUUCAUCAUUAGAAAAUAUUUACUGUAACACCAUAUUAUUAAAUCAUGGAGUAAUUAGGCUUAAAAGAUUUGUGUCGAUCUUGAUUGGUUGCUACCCAAGACUGUUCUCCACUGGCCUGGCCUGACGCAUACUCCAGCCAUAGAGGCGUGCAAUUAGCGCGGCCGAUUUCUGUCGCCCGAGGCUCCAGGCGUAAACAAAUGCGUGCUUUACCAUCGAAAUCUCAACUGUACGAAGUCAUCACCGCGUGCCGCCAUCGCACGAGGCUGCCCCUGAUCUGACGCCACUGCGUGAAGCCCACACCUACCUCAAUCGCCACCGCCGGCAAGCGAAGCCACUGCCGUGGUCGUCGUUGAGCGAAGUCCCCGCGUUGGUCGAGUUUGUACGAAGCUUCGCGUGAUCCCCUUUGCCGGAUCCAGCUUAGAGCGAAGCUUCAAUUCAGCUGAUGCUGCUGAUUUUGCUGAUCGUUAUUGCGACUUUGGGGAUAUUUUUGGAAAGUUAGUAAUCAUCUACUCGAUCAGGCAGCAGCAGCAAACCAAACAAGCAACUCGUCAGGUGGAACCCAUGAGUUUGUUGGAGUGCAAAUUCUUCAGGCGUGGUGCUCAGGUCACCAACCAAACAGGCCUUCUGUCUUUCGUCCGUCUUGAGGGAUAUCAAGAAAAGACAUUCUCAUGGUUCUAAAAAAAAGGGAUAUCAAGAACUCAAAAAGACUUUCUCAUGAAUGAAUGUAUCUAAUUCCAUCUGAAACUCUGGUGGUAGCUUCAUACCCACUUCGGACUUUGCACUAGCUUGUACAUUUAGAGAAAUUCUGAAAGUAGUAUGUGAAGGUUGUUGAAAUAUGCUUAUAUACAAAACAUGACCAUACAUGUACUGGUAAUUACAAGAUUUCAAUGCCCAAUUAGUUGCAUUUUGCA
Molecule: non-coding RNA, 1743 nt
Organism: Oryza sativa Japonica Group (Japanese rice)
Lineage: Eukaryota; Viridiplantae; Streptophyta; Magnoliopsida; Poales; Poaceae
Source: RefSeq, a predicted model, not a curated record